This 465-nucleotide ribosomal RNA is filed under the name uncultured bacterium. RNAcentral's name for it is "partial 16S ribosomal RNA". It matches the Rfam family "Bacterial small subunit ribosomal RNA", at positions 28 to 507 of the family's 1533-position model. The record is from RNAcentral.
GACGAACGCUGGCGGCGUGCUUAACACAUGCAAGUCGUACGGUAAGGCCCUUUCGGGGGUACACGCGUGGCGAACGGGUGAGUAACACGUGCGUAACCUGCCCACCACUUUGGGAUAACGCUAGGAAACUGGUGCUAAUACUGGAUAUGUGCUCCUGCCGCAUGGUGGGGGUUGGAAAGCUCCGGCGGUUGUGGAUGGACUCGCGGGCUAUCCGUUUGUUGGUGGGGGAGUGGGCUACCAAGGCGGCGACGGGUAGCCGGCCGGGGAGGGUGAACGGCCACAUUGGGACUGGGAUACGGCCCAGACUCCUACGGGAAGGAGCAGGGGGGAAUAUUGCACAAUGGGCGCAAGCCUGAUGCAGCAACGCCGCGUGCGGGAUGACGGCCUUCGGGUUGGAAACCGCUUUCAGCAGGGACGAAGCUUUUUGUGACGGUACCUGCAGAAGAAGCACCGGCUAACUACGUG